Molecule: ribosomal RNA, 316 nt
Filed under: Ortholasma sp. WW-2000
Lineage: Eukaryota; Metazoa; Arthropoda; Arachnida; Opiliones; Nemastomatidae
Description: eukaryotic LSU rRNA
Rfam family: Eukaryotic large subunit ribosomal RNA
Source: RNAcentral
CCAAGGAGUCUAACAUGUGCGCAAGUCAUUGGGUCUUGCAUAGGCCCAAAGGCGAAAUGAAAGUGAAGGGUGAUCCUAGUGGUCGCCCGAGUUGGGAUCCCUUACCCUUCGGGGUGGGGCGCACCAACGGCCCGGCCCAACGCCGCCACGUCGGCGGGUCGGAGCUAGAGCGCACACGUUGGGACCCGAAAGAUGGUGAACUAUGCCUGGGCAGGACGAAGCCAGAGGAAACUCUGGUGGAGGUCCGCAGCGAUUCUGACGUGCAAAUCGAUCGUCAGACCUGGGUAUAGGGGCGAAAGACUAAUCGAACCAUCUA